This is a long non-coding RNA of Drosophila navojoa, 145 nucleotides long. The record is from RefSeq and is a predicted model, not a curated record. Lineage: Eukaryota; Metazoa; Arthropoda; Insecta; Diptera; Drosophilidae.
ACAGCUGCAGCAGGAGCAGAGCUGGAGAAGAAGAAGAAGAAGAAAACAAACAACUUUCACAAAGGUCGUCACUUAACUAUUCAAAGUUGGCAAUGGCAAAUGCUCUGUACCGAAUAAAUACAAAUCGUUUUGCGUAUUCUUAUUC